RNAcentral lists this long non-coding RNA (361 nucleotides) under Mytilus galloprovincialis (Mediterranean mussel). Lineage: Eukaryota; Metazoa; Mollusca; Bivalvia; Mytilida; Mytilidae. The record is from RNAcentral.
AUUUACCAAUUGAGAUCAAACAUCGUGAGACGUUUCAACUAUGACUUAUAAUCUUCUUCAGACGUCCCAGGUUUCAACAUAGAUCGAAGAUCUCUCCGGCCUUCAAUCAAUUUAACAAACUGCACCAAAAUACAGAAAACAUGAUUCGAAUUUAUUUAAUAGAUAACAUCUGGUAUUGGUUUUCACUGAAAUUAUCUUUACAAAACAGCGGGUAUUCGACCCCUCAAUUGUGCGUCUUAUCGCACAUGUCAUAUUAUCAAGUAACCCCAUGUGGAGCGAGGAUGGGUUAUCGUCCUUGUCGCUACAAAUAAUUGUUAUCAAAUUGAGUUAUCUCCCUUAAACCGGACAGAUUCUUGGCAAU